This 319-nucleotide ribosomal RNA is filed under the name Sarcomonadea sp. Its description in RNAcentral is "SSU rRNA". It matches the Rfam family "Eukaryotic small subunit ribosomal RNA", at positions 629 to 956 of the family's 1831-position model. The record is from RNAcentral. Lineage: Eukaryota; Cercozoa.
CUGGUUCGGCGUACUUGGCCCGCUCCGGUUUACGGGGUUGUGUGCCGGUGUGCGCCAUCCAUCCUUCGAGAAAUCAUUUCUGCCCUUCACUGGGUUGGAAGUGGAAUCUCGAUCUUUUACUUUGAAAAAAUUAGAGUGUUUAAAGCAGGCUUGCGCUAUGAAUACAUUAGCAUGGAAUAAUAAUUUAGGACUUUUGUCUUAUUUUGUUGGUUUCUAGGACUUAAGUAAUGAUUGAUAGGGACAGUUGGGGGUGCUAGUAUUCAGCGGCCAGAGGUGAAAUUCUUGGAUUCGCUGAAGACUAACUUAUGCGAAAGCAUUC